This 254-nucleotide ribosomal RNA is filed under the name uncultured bacterium. RNAcentral's name for it is "partial 16S ribosomal RNA". It matches the Rfam family "Bacterial small subunit ribosomal RNA", at positions 524 to 776 of the family's 1533-position model. The record is from RNAcentral.
UACAGAGGGUGCGAGCGUUGUCCGGAAUCACUGGGCGUAAAGGGCGCGUAGGCGGUCUCUUAAGCGUGUGGUGAAAGCCCGGGGCUCAACUCCGGGUCGGCCGUGCGAACUGGGAGACUGGAGCUUGUCAGAGGCAGGCGGAAUUCCGGGUGUAGCGGUGGAAGUGCGUAGAGAUCCGGAAGAACACCGGUGGCGAAGGCGGCCUGCUGGGACAGUGCUGACGCUGAGGCGCGACAGCGUGGGGAGCAAACAGG